AGUGAACGCUGGCGGUAGGCCUAACACAUGCAAGUCGAACGGCAGCACAGUAAGAGCUUGCUCUUACGGGUGGCGAGUGGCGGACGAGUGAGGAAUACAUCGGAAUCUACUUUUUCGUGGGGGAUAACGUAGGGAAACUUACGCUAAUACCGCAUACGACCUACGGGUGAAAGCAGGGGAUCUUCGGACCUUGCGCGAUUGAAUGAGCCGAUGUCGGAUUAGCUAGUUGGCGGGGUAAAGGCCCACCAAGGCGACGAUCCGUAGCUGGUCUGAGAGGAUGAUCAGCCACACUGGAACUUAGACACGGUCCAGACUCCUACGGGAGGCAGCAGUGGGGAAUAUUGGACAAUGGGCGCAAGCCUGAUCCAGCCAUACCGCGUGGGUGAAGAAGGCCUUCGGGUUGUAAAGCCCUUUUGUUGGGAAAGAAAAGCAGCAGGUUAAUACCCCGCUGUUCUGACGGUACCCAAAGAAUAAGCACCGGCUAACUUCGUG
RNAcentral lists this ribosomal RNA (492 nucleotides) under uncultured bacterium. RNAcentral describes it as "partial 16S ribosomal RNA". It matches the Rfam family "Bacterial small subunit ribosomal RNA", at positions 29 to 507 of the family's 1533-position model. The record is from RNAcentral.